GUGUCAGCCGCCGCGGUAAAACGUAGGAGGCAAGCGUUAUCCGAAUUUACUGGGUGUAAAGCGCGUGCAGGCGGUUCGGUAAGUUGGAUGUGAAAUCUCCUGGCUCAACUGGGAGAGGUCGUUCAAUACUGCCGGGCUCGAGGGUGGUAGAGGGAGGUGGAAUUCCGGGUGUAGUAGUGAAAUGCGUAGAUAUCCGGAGGAACACCUGUGGCGAAAGCGGCCUCCUGGACCACACCUGACGCUCAGACGCGAAAGCUAGGGGAGCGAACGGGAUUAGAAACCCGCGUAGUCC
Molecule: ribosomal RNA, 292 nt
Filed under: uncultured bacterium
Lineage: Bacteria
Description: partial 16S ribosomal RNA
Rfam family: Bacterial small subunit ribosomal RNA
Source: RNAcentral